CUCCUUUACUGACGCAGCCCCAGGUCCUGGAUAGCUGGGUGAUGAACAGGAUGAACAACGGAUGGGUGUCGGAGGAAGGAGCCACGCCUGGGGGCUAAUCACAGCAACACGCAUAGCAACACCCUGUCUGCGGGCGCCUCCCCACCCAAGCCCUGCUCUUCAGGCCUGCCCACUCCUGGCUUUGGCUGUAAAGUCCCCAUUUGGGGGAGGCUGUCAUGUUCCUGCCUGCCUGCCUGCCUGCCUGGACAAGCAUCCAGUAAAGAGGAUUCCAGAGAUUCUGGAGCCAGCAAGAAGGAAAGGAAGGCGCUGGUAAUCUCUUGCAAGAAGAUCCUCUGAGAACACAGCCCUUAUCUGAGCAGAUAAGAAAGAUUUUGCCCACCCCUGGCUCAAACAUUAUGGGAGACUUACUACCUCAUCUGAUGAAUGCUCAGAAGGAAAAGUGGUGUGUGAUAUCU
Molecule: long non-coding RNA, 455 nt
Organism: Manis pentadactyla (Chinese pangolin)
Lineage: Eukaryota; Metazoa; Chordata; Mammalia; Pholidota; Manidae
Exons: 3
Source: RefSeq, a predicted model, not a curated record